This 424-nucleotide long non-coding RNA is filed under the name Bos mutus (wild yak). Its description in RNAcentral is "lncRNA (ENSBMUG00000016196.1)". The record is from RNAcentral. Lineage: Eukaryota; Metazoa; Chordata; Mammalia; Artiodactyla; Bovidae.
GUUAGAGUUUAUUCAUUGGAUGAAAACCUAAAACCAUUGCAAAAAGAAAUUACCUUAACUUUUAUAGAUCCAGAAGGGUCAGAAGUUGCUGAGACAACAAAAAAAAAUUUUACUGGAAUUAUGAGUUUUCCUGGCUUCAAGAUUCCAUCUAAUCCUAAGUAUUUUAAAUGAUUUGUUGGUACAGUUGUUUCUCUUAAAAGCAGUGAAGGUAUGGCUUAUGGACAAUUAAAGCUAAAUACAAAGAGGACUUUACAACAACAGGAACUGCAUAUUUUGAGAUUAAAAAUCAUGGUUUACAUUCAGUGAAACCACACUUCUUUAUCUUAGUAGAACUAGAGAAUUUCUUCAUUAGCCAUAAAAUCUUUGAGGACUUCAAGAUUACUAUAAAACCUAGUGGAUUGAUGGAGUUGCACAAAUCAUUAAC